AUUGCUUCUUGGCCUUUUGGCUAAGAUCAAGUGUAGUAUCUGUUCUCAUCAAUUUAAAAAUGGCAAUAUAAAUAGACCCAUAGUAGACCCAGAUAAUGGUGUUAUCAGAAAAGGACUUUAAGUAAUUUAAUAUGUUCAAAGAAUU
Molecule: small nuclear RNA, 145 nt
Organism: Equus asinus (donkey)
Lineage: Eukaryota; Metazoa; Chordata; Mammalia; Perissodactyla; Equidae
Gene: U2
Rfam family: U2 spliceosomal RNA
About the family: U2 is a small nuclear RNA (snRNA) component of the spliceosome (involved in pre-mRNA splicing). Complementary binding between U2 snRNA (in an area lying towards the 5' end but 3' to hairpin I) and the branchpoint sequence (BPS) of the intron results the bulging out of an unpaired adenosine, on the BPS, which initiates a nucleophilic attack at the intronic 5' splice site, thus starting the first of two transesterification reactions that mediate splicing.
Source: Ensembl